CCUACGGGAGGCAGCAGUGGGGAAUAUUGCACAAUGGGGGAAACCCUGAUGCAGCGACGCCGCGUGAAGGAAGAAGUAUUUCGGUAUGUAAACUUCUAUCAGCAGGGAAGAAAAUGACGGUACCUGAACAAGAAGCCCCGGCUAACUACGUGCCAGCAGCCGCGGUAAGACGUCGGGGGCAAGCGUCAUCCGGAUUUACUGGGUGUAACGGGAGCGUAUGCGGUUUAGCAAGUCAGAAGUGAAAGCCCGGGGCUCAACUCCGGGACUGCUUUUGAAACUGUUGAACUAGAUUGCAGGAGAGGUAAGUGGAAUUCCUGGUGUAGCGGUGAAAUGCGUAGAUAUUAGGAGGAACACCAGUGGCGAAGGCGGCUUACUGGACUGUAAAUGACGCUGAGGUUCGAAAGCGUGGGGAGCAAACAGGAUUAGAUACCCCUGUAGUC
Molecule: ribosomal RNA, 440 nt
Filed under: uncultured bacterium
Lineage: Bacteria
Description: partial 16S ribosomal RNA
Rfam family: Bacterial small subunit ribosomal RNA
Source: RNAcentral